CUACGGGUCGCUGCAGUGGGGAAUAUUGCGCAAUGGGCGAAAGCCUGACGCAGCGACGCCGUGUGAGGGAAGAAGGCCUUCGGGUCGUAAACCUCUGUCAGGAGGGAAGAAACUCAUGGGUUCGAACAGGGCCUGUGACUGACGGUACCUCCAGAGGAAGCACCGGCUAACUCCGUGCCAGCAGCCGCGGUAAUACGGAGGUGCGAGCGUUAAUCGGAAUCACUGGGCGUAAAGCGUGCGUAGGCGGCCAAGUAAGUCAGGCGUGAAAGCCCUCGGCUCAACCGGGGAAUUGCGCUUGAAACUGCAUGGCUUGAGUUCGGGAGAGGGUAGCGGAAUUCCGGGUGUAGGAGUGAAAUCCGUAGAUAUCCGGAGGAACACCGGUGGCGAAGGCGGCUACCUGGACCGAUACUGACGCUGAGGUACGAAAGCGUGGGGAGCAAACAGGAUUAGAUACCCUAGUAGUC
Molecule: ribosomal RNA, 464 nt
Filed under: uncultured bacterium
Lineage: Bacteria
Description: partial 16S ribosomal RNA
Rfam family: Bacterial small subunit ribosomal RNA
Source: RNAcentral